Molecule: long non-coding RNA, 344 nt
Filed under: Heterocephalus glaber (naked mole-rat)
Lineage: Eukaryota; Metazoa; Chordata; Mammalia; Rodentia; Bathyergidae
Description: lncRNA (ENSHGLG00100035663.1)
Source: RNAcentral
GAACUUAUUCACAUCCUUGCAGGUAUUUAUGAGGUAAAGAAGUGAGGUGAUAUAAGACAUGGGGAAAGGAGGGUAGAGAUCAGUCAGUCAGUCUUUGUGGCUCUUCCUGGGAUGCAUGUUCAGACAAUGGCAGCAUCUGCAUGAACUGAGGGCAGUUGUUGGCUUCCUGAAGGCCCAGCCAAAGAGGUGAUGCUACCAGGCAUUCGAUGCACUUGGGGCAGGAGCAUCGUGGCUCCAAGGCAAGCUUGGAGACCCAGCUUAAGUGCCACCUCCCCCAGGGAGCUGCUUCUUCCUGCUCUCCAGUGACCUGCACAGUUCCAGCAGAGUGAGUUCAAGUCCUACCC